Molecule: non-coding RNA, 237 nt
Organism: Styela clava
Lineage: Eukaryota; Metazoa; Chordata; Ascidiacea; Stolidobranchia; Styelidae
Source: RefSeq, a predicted model, not a curated record
GUAUCUAGCUUUAGUUCAAACCUAGAUCAAGUUAUCAGAAAGCCAUAUCCAGGAUGAGUGAACCAAAAAGAAAUGGAAACAAAGUCAAAAGUGGACAUGAAAGAAAAGUUCACAUACCAGAAAGUGACGCAGAAAAACAUGAAGACGUAUCAAAGAGUAUCAAAGAAAAACAUGAAGAAGUUCAACGAGUGUCAGAAUCCGGUGAGUUGCCUUCAAAAGCUGUACCAGAUGAUACAG